UAUACCGGAUAAUAUAUUGAACCAUGGUUCAAUAGUGAAAGACGGUUUUGCUGUCACUCAUACAUGGAUCCGCGCCGCAUUAGCUAGUUGGUAAGGUAACGGCUUACCAAGGCAACGAUGCGUAGCCGACCUGAGAGGGUGAUCGGCCACACUGGAACUGAGACACGGUCCAGACUCCUACGGGAGGCAGCAGUAGGGAAUCUUCCGCAAUGGGCGAAAGCCUGACGGAGCAACGCCGCGUGAGUGAUGAAGGUCUUCGGAUCGUAAAACUCUGUUAUUAGGGAAGAACAAAUGUGUAAGUAACUAUGCACGUCUUGACGGUACCUAAUCAGAAAGCCACGGCUAACUACGUGCCAGCAGCCGCGGUAAUACGUAGGUGGCAAGCGUUAUCCGGAAUUAUUGGGCGUAAAGCGCGCGUAGGCGGUUUUUUAAGUCUGAUGUGAAAGCCCACGGCUCAACCGUGGAGGGUCAUUGGAAACUGGAAAACUUGAGUGCAGAAGAGGAAAGUGGAAUUCCAUGUGUAGCGGUGAAAUGCGCAGAGAUAUGGAGGAACACCAGUGGCGAAGGCGACUUUCUGGUCUGUAACUGACGCUGAUGUGCGAAAGCGUGGGGAUCAAACAGGAUUAGA
This 628-nucleotide ribosomal RNA is filed under the name uncultured Staphylococcus sp. RNAcentral describes it as "bacterial SSU rRNA". It matches the Rfam family "Bacterial small subunit ribosomal RNA", at positions 165 to 782 of the family's 1533-position model. The record is from RNAcentral. Lineage: Bacteria; Bacillati; Bacillota; Bacilli; Caryophanales; Staphylococcaceae.